AGGUAGGGGCUCUGCAAGGGGGAAGGGGCGGAGAGGCGACCCCCAUAAAUGGCACUGCGAUACGGGCCAUACUCCUACGGGAGGCGGCAGUCGAGAAUCUUCCGCAAUGGGCGAAAGCCUGACGGAGCGACGUUUCGUGAAUGAUGACGCCCUUCGGGAGAUAAAGUUCUUUUAUGUGUGCAGGAGAGAGAGAACUGUACCUUCAUUAAUAAGGAGGU
Molecule: ribosomal RNA, 218 nt
Filed under: uncultured bacterium
Lineage: Bacteria
Description: partial 16S ribosomal RNA
Rfam family: Bacterial small subunit ribosomal RNA
Source: RNAcentral